AGCACUUCAGGGGAGUACAAGGAAGCUAGAAGGCAUGGGAUCUUCUUCUGAGAUGAGAAUUUUGGCAAAGAAAUAGGAGAGACACUGAAAAAAGACAGAGGCUGGCUUGGAAAUCGAACAGAUAUGGUUCUGUGGUCGAAAGGAUGGUGGUAUUCUUGUGGCUGUCUAUGCAAACAGUACAGAACAAUUGUAUUAAAUGCCACCCCACUCUGCCAGUUGAGUGGCAAUAUGCAGGUUAAUCAAUCAUUUUCCAUGGAAACUUUGUCCAGAAAAAUUUUGACCAACAUUAAUUGUAUAUGCUACGUAUUUGGACUGUUGAUGGGAGCUCCGCACAUGGAAUGAAUGCAGAAUACACGGAGAGGAC
This is a long non-coding RNA of Mauremys mutica (yellowpond turtle), 364 nucleotides long. RefSeq lists it as uncharacterized. Lineage: Eukaryota; Metazoa; Chordata; Testudines; Geoemydidae. The record is from RefSeq and is a predicted model, not a curated record. The transcript has 3 exons.